This 872-nucleotide ribosomal RNA is filed under the name Haloferula rosea. RNAcentral describes it as "bacterial SSU rRNA". It matches the Rfam family "Bacterial small subunit ribosomal RNA", at positions 59 to 925 of the family's 1533-position model. Lineage: Bacteria; Pseudomonadati; Verrucomicrobiota; Verrucomicrobiia; Verrucomicrobiales; Verrucomicrobiaceae. The record is from RNAcentral.
CAGUUGACGGGGGAUAUGGAUAGCUUGCUAGAAAUAUCCCUAGUGGCGCACGGGUGAGUAACACGUGAGUAACAUGCCUCGCAGAGGGGAAUAGCCCGCCGAAAGGCGGAUUAAUACCCCAUGGUCCCGCAAGGGUAAAGGUGGCUUCGGCUGCCGCUGCGAGAUUGGCUCGCGUCCUAUCAGCUUGUUGGUGAGGUAACGGCUCACCAAGGCGACGACGGGUAGCUGGUCUGAGAGGACGAUCAGUCACACUGGAACUGAGACACGGUCCAGACACCUACGGGUGGCAGCAGUCGAGAAUAAUUCACAAUGGGCGAAAGCCUGAUGGUGCAACGCCGCGUGGAGGAUGAAGGCCCUAGGGUCGUAAACUCCUGUCAUUUGAGAGUAAGACCUGGCGGUCAAUAGCCGACAGGGUUGAUAGUAUCAAAAGAGGAAGGGACGGCUAACUUCGUGCCAGCAGCCGCGGUAAUACGAAGGUCCCGAGCGUUGUUCGGAAUCACUGGGCGUAAAGGGAGCGUAGGCGGUUGGGUAAGUCAGAUGUGAAAUCCCGGGGCUCAACCCCGGAACUGCAUCCGAUACUGCCUGACUAGAGUAAUGGAGGGGUAACUGGAAUUCUCGGUGUAGCAGUGAAAUGCGUAGAUAUCGAGAGGAACACUCGUGGCGAAGGCGAGUUACUGGACAUUUACUGACGCUGAGGCUCGAAGGCCAGGGUAGCGAAAGGGAUUAGAUACCCCUGUAGUCCUGGCAGUAAACGGUGUGCGCUUGGUGUGAGGGGUUUCGACCCCCCUUGUGCCGGAGCUAACGCGUUAAGCGCACCGCCUGGGGAGUACGGUCGCAAGACUAAAACUCAAAGAAAUUGACGGGGACCCGCA